CCUACGGGCGGCAGCAGUGAGGAAUAUUGGUCAAUGGACGAGAGUCUGAACCAGCCAAGUAGCGUGAAGGAUGACUGCCCUAUGGGUUGUAAACUUCUUUUAUAUGGGAAUAAAAUGUUCUACGUUUGUGAUCUUGUAUGUACCAUAUGAAUAAGGAUCGGCUAACUCCGUGCCAGCAGCCGCGGUAAUACGGAGGAUACGAGCGUUAUCCGGAUUUAUUGGGUUUAAAGGGAGCGUAGGUGGAUUGGUAAGUUAGUUGUGAAAGGUUUCGGCUCAACCGUAACAUUGCAGUUGAAACUGGCAGUCUUGAGUACAGUAGAGGUGAGCGGAAUUCGUGGUGUAGCGGUGAAAUGCUUAGAUAUCACGAAGAACUCCGAUUGCGAAGGCAGUUCACUGGACUGCAACUGACACUGAGGCUCGAAAGUGUGGGGAGCAAACAGGAUUAGAUACCCUAGUAGUC
This 460-nucleotide ribosomal RNA is filed under the name uncultured bacterium. Its description in RNAcentral is "partial 16S ribosomal RNA". It matches the Rfam family "Bacterial small subunit ribosomal RNA", at positions 338 to 795 of the family's 1533-position model. The record is from RNAcentral.